This 2506-nucleotide long non-coding RNA is filed under the name Amphimedon queenslandica. Its description in RNAcentral is "uncharacterized LOC109584249". The record is from RNAcentral. Lineage: Eukaryota; Metazoa; Porifera; Demospongiae; Haplosclerida; Niphatidae.
CCAUCCGCAUUUCAGCCUGAUCCUCAUUUCAGGCUUGCCCUCAGAGGGCUCCAAACAUGUGCAAGGUACAACUGCUGACUUCUUAAUAUCAAAUAAUACAAUUUGAAUAAAAUAGCCUCUAGAAGAUAAAUUAGUCUUGAAGGAGCGUAAUGAGUUGUUACAGAGUCAGAGGUUCAAAAGGAAGUCAAAAAGGAACAGAAAUGUGGGUCACAAGUCUGUUAUUGAUGAUAAGGAUACCUGCUGACAGAAGGGGGAGGGUAAAAAUGGGACUGGGACUGGAAAACAGAGGAAAACAAUGUAAAAGCGGGACAGGGACGGGGGAAAUGGAGGAUAUAACUAGGACAGUGACAAGGAAUUACCGGGUAAAAACAGGACUGGGACAGGACAGUACACGUGCAUUAUAUUGAUGCACGUGAAUACACAUGUAUUGUCAUCAACAGAAUGGAUGAGUCUCCAGGCAGCAGUUUUGUUGAUUUUUACUGUCAUAACACAAGAAAUGGCUCAAAUAAUGACACCAAAGAUGAUAUUGACAAUAGUACAUGUGACUCAGUUUCCGAUGCCAGUGAUAUUAUUCAACCAAUGAUGGUACAAGUAAAAGAAACAUUAAGUCUCUAUGAAAUUCACGAUUACCUGAGUAAUGCUUCCAAAUAUUAAAAUUUGUGCAGUGAGCCAUUACCACCUGUUCAGCCUAAUGGAGGACCAUAUUAUUGUAUGACUUGGGAAUAAAUGAAUCUGAAUGGGAUUUAAAGAAAAAAAAAUAAGAUGUAAUCAGUACAGAUGGGUUCGCAAGUUCCAUGCCCUUUAAAGCAACAGAAACUUCCAUGGAUAUAUAAGAGUGCAGUUGUUGACGUAAAAUCAGAGGAAAAGAAAGAAAUUCUGAACAUCGAAAUGUCAAAAAGAGCUCAAAAUCAUUUAUUCGAUCUGCUCCAUAUGUGAAAGAAAAGUACUUACGAAAAAGUUUUGAAAUCUGCAAUUCAACUUAUGAUCAAUGGACGUAUGGAGGAAGGAAAAGUACCAACAUGCAUAGUCGGCUGUAACAACUUCAGGUAAUGACAAUUUUGACUGCUAUGGCCAUGAGUUUGACAAAAUUUUAUACCUAUUGUGACUUGUUUGGAGAAUUAACUUAAGAAAGAAAUGCAGUGCAUGAUCAUGCCCACGCAAUGGGAAAGUAGAAGAGAUAAGUUACUGCCAUUACAGUUUCAAUUCAGCAAAUCGCUUCAAUGAGCAAGGCAGAGAGCAGUUUGUAGAGAUAGGAGAAGUAUGUGGAGUCUGUUGUGCUUAGUUCAGUGAUCGUAACGAUCCCCCUAUAGAUGCAAUUUAUAGAUUAAAUGAAUGCAACAAUAUUGAGUCAGAUGAAGAUAAGCCUAUAACGGAAUAUUUUGAGUGUGCUGGAACACCUAUUACAAAGGCUUUUUGCUUCACUGAUAAGACACUGGAUGGUUUCAUUCAAUAUUUCUUAGUUGUCAGGUCUAGAGUGUAAACAGCUUCCAAGGAGUAAUGUGAUAUUUGGACAACUGUAUAGAUUAGGAGGUUUUUUGCUGCACUCAGGUAAUCACUACAUUGCUGUUGUAUUUUGGCAUGGUAAAGAAAUGUUCUAUGAUGGACUGGGCUCAACAAAGGAACAGGCUACAAAUUCUGAAAAAUUGUCACUUGAGUUCUAAAUGUGGUUCUUAUGCAUAUUACUUUAUUGUUGCUAAACAAUGAUAACUUUGAAUUCGUGUUUUAAUAGUUUACUUGCCUAAUUAGCUUAGUCCUACUAGUUAUGGCAUGUAAAGUUCCAAAUGUGCAUUAGUUCUAUGAUGUCAGUCAAAUUCUACCCUAUCACUUGUUACUAGUAAAUUUUUUGAUAUUAAAUAAUAAUAGCAAAGUUAAAUGAAAUAUUAAACAGUGGACAUAAAUGUUACGGACUAUAAUUUGAUGUAAGAGCCAGAGGGAAAGAGAGAAUUUCUGGGGAGAAAGAAUGAUAAUUUUAGUAAUUCCCAGUCCUGUUUUUACCCUGUAUUUCCCCGUCCCUGUCCCGGUUAUAUCCUCCAUUUCCCCCGUUUCUGUCCUGGUUUUACAUUGUUUUUCUCUGUCCCCAUCCUGCUUUAACCCUCUGUUUCCCUGUCCCGAUCCCAGUCCCGUUUUUAGCCACACCCCUGACAGGAUUCAGUGGCAGACAAAUGUCAAUCAUGGCUGUGGCUUAGUACUGUGAUGUUCUCUGGAAAAUCAGUUCUGGAACAGAAAAAGCCUUUCUUUGUCUCCUGGUCAAUGACUAAAGCUAGUGAGUUUGCCUCUUGAUGAGCAACAAGUUAAGAAAUGGAGUACAUACUUCUAUGGAUCUUGGAAAAGUACUUCUACUUCAUCUGCAAGUGAUGCUUGUAACAGCCACGGAGCAUUCUUAUUACUAUCAUUAUGUAAUUAUACAAUUUUAUUCAAUUUUGCAUUAGUAAACAUGCUGUUUUGAUCUGAUAAGAAAAUGCAUUUAAUAAUUUCAAGAAUGAAGAAAAACAAAACAAAUUAAUGA